Molecule: ribosomal RNA, 497 nt
Filed under: uncultured bacterium
Lineage: Bacteria
Description: partial 16S ribosomal RNA
Rfam family: Bacterial small subunit ribosomal RNA
Source: RNAcentral
GAUGAACGCUGGCGGCGUGCCUAAUACAUGCAAGUCGAGCGAACAGACGAGGAGCUUGCUCCUCUGACGUUAGCGGCGGACGGGUGAGUAACACGUGGAUAACCUACCUAUAAGACUGGGAUAACUUCGGGAAACCGGAGCUAAUACCGGAUAAUAUAUUGAACCGCAUGGUUCAAUAGUGAAAGACGGUUUUGCUGUCACUUAUAGAUUGAUCCGCGCCGCAUUAGCUAGUUGGUAAGGUAACGGCUUACCAAGGCAACGAUGCGUAGCCGACCUGAGAGGGUGAUCGGCCACACGGGAACUGAGACACGGCCCAGACUCCUACGGGAGGCAGCAGUAGGGAAUCUUCCGCAAUGGGCGAAAGCGUGACGGAGCAACGCCGCGUGAGUGAUGAAGGUCUUCGGAUCGUAAAACUCUGUUAUUAGGGAGGAACAAAUGUGUAAGUAACUAUGCACGUCUUGACGGUACCUAAUCAGAAAGCCACGGCUAACUACGUG